CUGGAGAGUGGGCUCUGGCUUCGACACGCCCCCUGGGAACAGCGCCUUUUCGUUUCCUGACCAGUGCAGAGCCAGCAGAGCCGGUGACACCCCCACGCACUGCAGGCAGAGGAUGGUGGGACAGUCGGAGGAGGCUGCAAUGGGAUAUCGGACGUGACCCUCCCUCCUGCUUCUGGGCCAGGCAUCUGCUGGCACCCCAGACCCAAUCCCCUCUCUCUGCUGCCACCUGGGGACUGAGCUGUGACCCGCCGCUGUGGAGGUGGGGGCUCCCUCCCCAACCGUGU
Molecule: long non-coding RNA, 284 nt
Filed under: Marmota monax (woodchuck)
Lineage: Eukaryota; Metazoa; Chordata; Mammalia; Rodentia; Sciuridae
Source: RNAcentral